Molecule: ribosomal RNA, 218 nt
Filed under: uncultured bacterium
Lineage: Bacteria
Description: partial 16S ribosomal RNA
Rfam family: Bacterial small subunit ribosomal RNA
Source: RNAcentral
AUUGAACGCUGGCGGAAUGCUUUACACAUGCAAGUCGAGCGGCAGCGCGGGGGCAACCCUCGGCGGCGAGCGGCGAACGGGUAGAGUAAUACAUCGGAACGUGUCCUUAAGUGGGGAGUAGCUCGGCGAAAGACCGGAUUAAUACCGCAUAAAGCUCUGAGGAAGGAAAGGACGGGGCGUCCGUAAGGACCUCGCGCUGUUGGAGCGGCCGAUGUCGG